RNAcentral lists this ribosomal RNA (314 nucleotides) under uncultured bacterium. Its description in RNAcentral is "bacterial SSU rRNA". It matches the Rfam family "Bacterial small subunit ribosomal RNA", at positions 28 to 334 of the family's 1533-position model. The record is from RNAcentral.
GAUGAACGCUAGCUACAGGCCUAACACAUGCAAGUCGAGGGGCAUCGGGAGGGAAGCUUGCUUCCCUUGCCGGCGACCGGCGCACGGGUGAGUAACGCGUAUCGAACCUGCCCCAUACCCGGGGAUAGCCUUGCGAAAGUAAGAUUAAUACCCGAUGGCUUCCUUUUAUCUCCUGAUAGAGGGAAUAAAGAAUUUCGGUAUGGGAUGGCGAUGCGUCUGAUUAGCUAGUUGGUGAGGUAACGGCUCACCAAGGCGACGAUCAGUAGCCGGUCUGAGAGGAUGAACGGCCACAUUGGGACUGAGACACGGCCCAG